RNAcentral lists this ribosomal RNA (253 nucleotides) under uncultured bacterium. RNAcentral's name for it is "partial 16S ribosomal RNA". It matches the Rfam family "Bacterial small subunit ribosomal RNA", at positions 524 to 776 of the family's 1533-position model. The record is from RNAcentral.
UACGAAGGGGGCUAGCGUUGUUCGGAAUUACUGGGCGUAAAGCGCACGUAGGCGGAUAUUUAAGUCAGGGGUGAAAUCCCGCAGCUCAACUGCGGAACUGCCUUUGAUACUGGGUAUCUUGAGUAUGGAAGAGGUUAGUGGAAUUGCGAGUGUAGAGGUGAAAUUCGUAGAUAUUCGCAGGAACACCAGUGGCGAAGGCGACUCACUGGACGACUGUUGACGCUGAGGUGCGAAAGCGUGGGGAGCAAACAGG